UAAAAAACUAGUUAAUUUAUAACAUUAGAAUGUCAAUCUAAAAUAACUAAUAGUGUUUUUUAA
This 63-nucleotide transfer RNA is filed under the name Nuttalliella namaqua. Its description in RNAcentral is "tRNA-Asp". The record is from RNAcentral. Lineage: Eukaryota; Metazoa; Arthropoda; Arachnida; Ixodida; Nuttalliellidae.